AAUAUUUGACAAUGGGGGCAACCCUGAUCCAGCCAGCCCGCGUGUGUGAAGAAGGUCAUCGGAUUGUCCCGCCCUUUAAGUUGGGAGGAAGGGCUUUAGGCUAAUACCCUGAAGUUGUUACGUUACCAACAGAAUAAGCACCGGCUAACUCUCUGCCAGCAGCCGCGGUAAUACAGAGGGUGCAAGCGUUAACCGGAAUUACUGGGCGUAAAGCGCGCGUAGGUGGUUCAGUAAGAUGGGUGUGAAAUCCCCGGGCUUAACCUGGGAACUGCUUUCAUAACUGCUGAGCUAGAGUACGGUAGAGGGUAGUGGAAUUUCCUGUGUAGCGGUGAAAUGCGUAGAUAUAGGAAGGAACACCAGUGGCGAAGGCGACUACCUGGACUGAUACUGACACUGAGGUGCGAAAGCGUGGGGAGCAAACA
This 422-nucleotide ribosomal RNA is filed under the name uncultured bacterium. RNAcentral describes it as "partial 16S ribosomal RNA". It matches the Rfam family "Bacterial small subunit ribosomal RNA", at positions 360 to 774 of the family's 1533-position model. The record is from RNAcentral.